Molecule: ribosomal RNA, 2320 nt
Filed under: Mycoplasma testudineum
Lineage: Bacteria; Bacillati; Mycoplasmatota; Mollicutes; Mycoplasmatales; Mycoplasmataceae
Description: bacterial LSU rRNA
Rfam family: Bacterial large subunit ribosomal RNA
Source: RNAcentral
CUAAAUACUAACCAGACACCGAUAGUGAACUAGUACCGUGAGGGAAAGGUGAAAAGAACCCCGGAAGGGGAGUGAAAUAGAAUCUGAAACUACUUACUUACAAUUAGUCAGAGCGCGUUAAUGCGUGAUGGCGUACAUCUUGCAGUAUGGACCGGCGAGUUAUAUUAUCAUGCGAGGCUAAGUGGAGAAAAGCGGAGCCGUAGAGAAAUCGAGUCUUAAUAGGGCGAAUGAGUAUGAUGGUAUAGACCCGAAACCAGGUGAUCUAUUCAUGAGCAGGCUGAAGCUUAGGUAAAACUAAGUGGAGGGCCGAACCGUAGUACGCUGAAAAGUGCCCGGAUGACUUGUGAAUAGCGGUGAAAUUCCAAUCGAACCUGGAGAUAGCUGGUUCUCCUCGAAAUAGCUUUAGGGCUAGCGUGUGAUGUUAAACUUUGGUGGUAGAGCACUGAAUAUGGAAUGGCGGCGCCUAGCUGUACUGACUAUAAUCAAACUCCGAAUACCAUUGUGAAUUGUCAUGCAGUCGGAACAUCGGUGAUAACGUCGAUGCUCGCGAGGGAAACAACCCAGAUCGUCAGCUAAGGUCCCAAAAUUAUGUUAAGUGAGAAAAGUUGUUGGAUUUCUUAAACAACUAGGAGGUUGGCUUAGAAGCAGCCACCCUUUAAAGAGUGCGUAAUAGCUCACUAGUCAAGAAAACCAGCGCUGAAAAUGUAACGGGACUAAACAUAAUACCGAAGCUACGGGUUUAAUAAGUUUUUAUUAAGCGUUAGAGGAGCGUUCUUAUCUGCAAUGAAGCUAAACCGUGAGGAUUAGUGGAGCGUUAAGAAGUGAGAAUGCCGGUAUGAGUAACGAUUGAGAGUGAGAAUCUCUCACGCCUAUUGGGGAAGGUUUCCUGGGCUAGGUUCGUCCACCCAGGGUUAGUCGGGACCUAAGACGAGGCCGAAAGGAGUAGUCGAUGGACAACAGGUUAAUAUUCCUGUACUUUCGAUAACAGUGAUGGAGUGACGGAGAAGGAUAACUUUACCAGUUAAUGGAUUCUGGAGUAAAUAAAUAGUGGUCAAUGUAGGCAAAUCCGCAUUGUAUAACCGUGAUUUAUGACGCAUAGCGAAAGGCAACAAGUAGCGAAUUAAGUGAUUUCAUGCUUCCAAGAAAAGCUUCUAAACUUAUGUUAUAGGAACCCGUACCGAGAACGGACACACGUCCCCAAGAUGAGUAUUCUAAGGCGAGCGAGAAAACCAUUGUUAAGGAACUCUGCAAAUUGACCCCGUAAGUUCGCGAGAAGGGGCGCUCAAUUAACAAUUUUAUAGCAAUAUAUUAUGAAUUAAGUGAGCCACAGUAAAUUUCAAGGGGCAACUGUUUAUCAAAAACACAGCUCUCUGCUAAGUUGUAAAACGAUGUAUAGGGGGUGAAGUCUGCCCAGUGCCCGAAGGUUAAGCGGAACUGUUAGCUUUGCGAAGCAGUAAAGUGAAGCCCGGGUGAACGGCGGCUGUAACUAUAACGGUCCUAAGGUAGCGAAAUUCCUUGUCGGCUAAAUACUGACCUGCACGAAAGACGCAAUGAUCUCUUGACUGUCUCAACAAUGGACUCGGUGAAAUUAUGGUGCCAGUGAAAACGCUGGCUACCCGCAUCAAGACGAAAAGACCCCGUGGAGCUUUACUACAACUUCGUAUUGGGAUUUGGUUUAACAUGUGUAGAAUAGGUGGGAGACUUUGAAGCCGGGACGCUAGUUCCGGUGGAGUCACCUUUGAAAUACCACCCUUGUUAAAUUGAAUUUCUAACCUGCAACCGUGAUCCGGUUGGGAGACAGUGCGUGGUGGGUAGUUUGACUGGGGCGGUCGCCUCCUAAAAGGUAACGGAGGCGUUCAAAGCUACACUCAAUACGGUCAGAAACCGUAUGUAGAGCGCAAAGGUAAAAGUGUGGUUGACUGCGAGACCUACAAGUCGAGCAGGUGCGAAAGCAGGACUUAGUGAUCCGGCAGUUCAUUGUGGAAUGGCUGUCGCUCAACGGAUAAAAGCUACCCCGGGGAUAACAGGGUUAUCUCCCCCAAGAGAUCACAUCGACGGGGAGGUUUGCCACCUCGAUGUCGGCUCAUCGCAUCCUGGAGCUGGAGUCGGUUCCAAGGGUUUGGCUGUUCGCCAAUUAAAGCGGUACGCGAGCUGGGUUCAGAACGUCGUGAGACAGUUCGGUCCCUAUCUGAUGUGGGCGUUGGAAUAUUGAUGAGAGCUGCUCUUAGUACGAGAGGACCGGAGUGGACGUACCACUGGUGCUCCAGUUGUUUCGCCAGAAGCAUAGCUGGGUAGCCAAGUACGGAAAGGAUAAACGCUG